CACGUAGGAGGCAAACGUUAUCCGGAUUUACUGGGCGUAAAGCGCGUGUAGGUGGUUCUGUAAGUAGGGCGUGAAAGCUCCCGGCUCAACUGGGAGAGGCCGUUCUAAACUGCAGAGCUAGAGGAUGGUAGAGGGAGGUGGAAUUCCAGGUGUAGCGGUGGAAUGCGCAGAUAUCUGGAGGAACACCAGUGGCGAAAGCGGCCUCCUGGACCAUUCCUGACACUCAGACGCGAAAGCUAGGGUAGCAAACGGG
This 253-nucleotide ribosomal RNA is filed under the name uncultured bacterium. RNAcentral's name for it is "partial 16S ribosomal RNA". It matches the Rfam family "Bacterial small subunit ribosomal RNA", at positions 524 to 776 of the family's 1533-position model. The record is from RNAcentral.